This 154-nucleotide unclassified non-coding RNA is filed under the name uncultured Lophiostomataceae. RNAcentral's name for it is "sequence contains ITS2". The record is from RNAcentral. Lineage: Eukaryota; Fungi; Ascomycota; Dothideomycetes; Pleosporales; Lophiostomataceae.
AACCCCUCAAGCACCGCUUGAUGUUGGGCGCCUGUCCCGCCGCCGCGCGCGGACUCGCCUCGAAGACAUUGGCGGCCUGUGUAUUGGCUACGAGCGCAGCAGACCGGCGCCCCGCCCCCAGUCGCACAGGCGCACCAGGAAGCGCGACCCCCAA